Molecule: long non-coding RNA, 3636 nt
Filed under: Mus musculus (house mouse)
Lineage: Eukaryota; Metazoa; Chordata; Mammalia; Rodentia; Muridae
Description: long non-coding RNA chr2:130925440-130929076
Source: RNAcentral
UGUAGGUUUCAGAACUCAGGGUGGAUGAUGACACAAUGGCUCUAAACCCUAGAUGAGGAGCCUAAGCAAGGCCCCGAGGAAGGCAUCUCCAGGGAAAGAAAAGGGAAAGAAAAGGGAAAGAAAAGGGAAAGAAAAGGGAAAAGGAGGCGUUCGGGGACUUAAGUUUUGGAUUUGGAUUUGGAUUUUGGAGUAGGAAAUAUGAAUCUGAAACAUGGAACCUAGCAUGGAGUUGAGGCUUGAACACUAAAUAUAAGAAGUGAAUGAAGCCAUAGAGGGAAUGGGGCUUACCUAUAGGGGCUUCAAGGAAUCCCCAUCUUGGGCUGCUGUAAGGAGAGAGUAAAUAAUUUCAGGGAAGGAACUUUCCAUUUUCGCUUUCUACUCUCUUGAGGUAGAUGAUUUUUUUUUUAAUUGAGAGAGCUAUAUAACCUUGUGGUAUUAUAAUUUUGGAUGAGUAUAGCAGAAUGUCUUAGACACUAAAGCACAGAUUACAUAUUUGCAACGUUAUGUCACUUGUAGAACUUGAAGAGUACUAUAACUUGGGUUUUUACUACUAGUUUCUAUUGAUUAUCACAUGCUUUAUCUGUUGCAUUUUAGACCCAUUAGCCUGAGUAACAUAUUCAUGACGAACCUUGUUGCAUUUUUAUUGUAAAGAAUUAUAUCAAGGGCCAGUGAAAUGGCUUGGUGGGUAAUAAACUGCUUGCCAUGUAAGCCUGAUGACCUGAGCUCCAUAUCUGGGAUCCAUGGUGGAUGGAGAGAACUGUUUGUUCCCCAAAGUUUUCUAGACCCCUGAGCACAUGCUCGAGUGCACGCAUGCACAUACAUGUGAUAAUACAUAUGUUGAGGUUCAGUCUGUUGCUGUGGAUUGUAAUGCUAAAUACUGGCCCCCAAGAUCUGGUUGCCUCAGGGUUACACCAGGUCAUGUUAUGUAAUCUUGAUUACAAGAUUAUCAAGUUAUUUCUGAUUGGUCAGUAAAUAUACAUAUUCAUGCUUACAGCCUGUAGCUUGGCAGAAGAGAGGUAGGCAGGGCUUCAGUUCCCAGGCUUGGGGUCUGAGGCAGAGACCACAAGGAAGAAAGAGAAGGUGGAGAGAGGAGAAAAUUCCAUUAGGGUAACUGAAUCAUGAAGGCCAUGAGGGCUGGCCAGUUGGAGUAAGAGUGACGCAGGUAGAACAUGGCUUUAUAACUCAGAGCUACUGACAGGGAAGUAGGUAGGCAAAGCAGGCAUAGAUUGUUGAUAUCUGCCCAGCUCUAGUGCUUUAAAGGCUUAUUAUAAAUAUAAAAGUUUUAUGUCUUUUAUGUGGGAACUAAAUGAUCCAAGGUGGGGAAGAAAUCCUCCUAUUAAUCUUAAUAUUUGCCAUAAUACACAUAUACUUACUAAUGAUAAAUAAGGUAAAUUUUAUAAAGAAUUAUUUUUAAAAACUAAAUUAAAGGCAAGAAUGUAUAUAUCAAUGGUAGGACAUGGAGUUAGCAUUCAUAAGAUUUUGGGUUCAGUCACCAUCACCACUUCCAAAGGUGAAACGUGGGGAUGUGGAAGUAAUUUUAGUAUUAGUGCCAAAUUCAGCCACAUAGGUGUCACUCCCUAGGGGCCAUCCACUUUGUGUUUUGAGUCAGGGUCUGUCACUAGGACCCGUGGCUUGCUGGUUAGGUUAGGCUGGCUGGUUGUCUGGCCCCAGAACCCUUCUGUCUCUGCUCCCCAGCAGUGGGGCUACAGUGAGCACUGCUGUGCUGCUUGCUUUUAUGUCAGUGUGACACAAGCUGCAGUCGUUUUACAAGUGGCACUCUCAGCUGAGAAAAUGCUCCACCUGGUUGGCCUGUCUAUAAGUUUUGGAGCAUUUUCUUAGCUAGUGAUUGAUAUGGGAGGGCUCAGUCCAUUGUGGGUGGUGUCAUCCCUGGGCAGGUGGUCCUGGGGUACAUAAAAAAGCAGGCUGAGCAAGUCUAAAAGCUGCACCCCUCCAUGGCCUCUGCACCAGCUCCUGCUUUCAAGUUCCGGCCUUUACGUUCAUAUCCUGAUUUCCCUGGGUGAUGGGCUAUAAACCAAACUAAAGUAAACCCUUUCCUCCCCAAGUUGAUUUUCGUCAUGAUGUUCAUCACAGUUGUCUUCCUUUGGAAGAUUUGACAGUGCUGUUUUGGGGAGGAUUGUGCAAGGAACUAUGGACUAGAAAAGCUGUUUAAUGCUUAGAGCUUAGUGAGCUGUUAUGUGGGAAGAUGGAGUAGAAGAAUAUUGAGAACAACACAGAUGUUGGAGACUGGCCCAUAAAGUUUCAGAAAGAAGUUUGUGUGUCACUUUAAGAUGCUAUCAGGGCCAUUUGAUAUUUUGAAGCUAGCAACCAUAGAAGUGGACAGUUGAUACUGGUUAGCCGGGGCGAAUCAGCUUUAAUUAAGAAGACCUGCAGCGCUGAGGCAGAACGUUCGGAAAGGGUUUCUACAGCACACAGAUGCUGUAGUCCAGAUAGAAGGCCAUACCUCUCUCUGGCAGCCAACCUUGGUAAUCUCUUAAGAGUCUCCCAGCUGGUACUGGUUUUGAAGUCAUGAAGGGGUCAUGGAAAGCAGCUGAGGUUUUACACAGUGAAUGUGCAACACCAGUUGAUGUUGAAGCCCCAAGAUUGAAAGAGUCAUGGAAAGAAGUUAAGGUUUGUUACCAUGUGGUAAGCCAGUUCCAAAAGAGAGCCCAGGAGAGGUCAUGGUGAAGGUGCAGCCUAGAUGCCAGUACCGUGAGAUGACCACCAAGGACAGCAACAGGUAUGAAAUGGAGCCUGCCUGAGACUAGUAGACACGUGUGCCGUGGCAAGGCCUUUGGAGCCAAGACAAUUGUGAUUGGCAGAGGCUGGCACUGAGCUUUACACUGUGGACUUUAGUUCUGCUUUGAUCUGGUUGUGACUGUGCCUGGCUCUUUCCUCUUGGAAUAAUAAAGUAUUUUGCUUAUUUUUUAAUUUGCAGGAGUCCACAGCUAAAAAAAUUAAAGACUUCGAACUUCUAGAGAGACUUUAGAGUGUCAAGACGGAUUUUGGACAUUUUAGAGACUUGGGAUAUUUUAUAUCUUUAAUUAUAGGCACUAAACUCUGAUACACCCUAUUUUAUAGAAAUUAUACCACUAGAUUUAACAUCAAUCUGUUAAUAGUAGAUGAUUUCAGUACCCUGUUUUCUGUAAUAGAUCAAGCUGAAUAAAAUAAACAUGAGAAUUAAUUGACAUCACACAUCAAAUGGACUUAACAGAGGUCUACAUAAUAUUCCACCAGAACACCAAAGAACACAGUUCUGAGAACACACAGAGCUUUUCUAAAGCAGGCCACACCUUGAGACACAAAACCAGUCUUUACAAGUUCAAAAAGAUUGCAAUCACUCCAGUUAUUCUGACCACAAUGCAGUAAAACUUAAAAUACACAGCAGUCAAAUCUCUGGUAAAUACAGAAACUCUUUGUAUUUGAGAAUAAGUAACUCAUUACUGAAUGAUGAAUGGGUCAAAGAAGAAAUCAAGAAAGAAAUAUAUAGUUCUAAGUGCCAACAUUUUUUUAAAAAAUCAGAAAAAGCACUAAUUGAUGACUUAAUGUGGCAACUCAGAAAUUAGGAAAAAUGAAAACAAACUAAAUCUAGACCCAGUUGGUAGCAAGAAAUAAAUGAAAUAUAAACAAAAAAAUACG